GACGAACGCUGGCGGCGUGCUUAACACAUGCAAGUCGAACGGAAAGGCCCUGCUUUUGUGGGGUGCUCGAGUGGCGAACGGGUGAGUAACACGUGAGUAACCUGCCCUUGACUUUGGGAUAACUUCAGGAAACUGGGGCUAAUACCGGAUAGGAUCUCCUGCUGCAUGGUGUGGGUUGGAAAGUUUCGGCGGUUGGGGAUGGACUCGCGGCUUAUCAGCUUGUUGGUGGGGUAGUGGCUUACCAAGGCUUUGACGGGUAGCCGGCCUGAGAGGGUGACCGGCCACAUUGGGACUGAGAUACGGCACAGACUCCUACGGGAGGCAGCAGUGGGGAAUAUUGCAGAAUGGGCGGAAGCCUGAUGCAGCAACGCCGCGUGCGGGAUGACGGCCUUCGGGUUGUAAACCGCUUUCGCCUGUGACGAAGCGUGAGUGACGGUAAUGGGUAAAGAAGCACCGGCUAACUACGUG
Molecule: ribosomal RNA, 468 nt
Filed under: uncultured bacterium
Lineage: Bacteria
Description: partial 16S ribosomal RNA
Rfam family: Bacterial small subunit ribosomal RNA
Source: RNAcentral